AAAGGAAGAUUAUUGUCUUUGAUCAGUUGGUUUUUCCUAUAAACAUCAAGGUCAAAUUUUCUUUGGGAGUGGUUAUAAAUUGGACCAUCAGUUUGAAAGAUACAUCGGUAUAGUUAAAGACAUGAUCAAUCUCGUAGGCUGAAACCUUAGUUUGAUUAAUUGGGAGAUUCUAUGGAAUCUUUCAAAAAUAGUUUCCCACUUAUGUGGCCCAUAUAAGUGGCAUGUCUUGUUGUAUUUCCGAAAUGUUGGGCUUAGGCUGUUUCCCAUUGGACCGUUUCUCACCCACAUUUCGAGGAGGCCUAUUAGAAUAUGUUCCACAACAAUUGGGAUUAAGAUAUUUGGGCAUUAUAUAAAGGAUGUAACAAUCCUUAACUCUUGAGUUAGCUUUUGGGUUAAGGUAGGCCAUAUUCCUAAUAAGGUCUAAUCGAUCAUGAUGCAAGUUGAUUGGCUGAUCAACUCUACAAUUAGAAAGACACUGCUUGUU
Molecule: small RNA, 484 nt
Filed under: Arabidopsis thaliana (thale cress)
Lineage: Eukaryota; Viridiplantae; Streptophyta; Magnoliopsida; Brassicales; Brassicaceae
Description: ATSL212800
Source: RNAcentral